AGCAGCCGCGGUAAUUCCAGCUCCAAUAGCGUAUAUUAAAGUUGUUGCAGUUAAAAGCUCGUAGUUGAAUUUCGGGACCAAUCUGCCGGUCGUGCCUCCGGUAUGCACUGGUUUUAUUGGUUUCUCCCUUCUGACGAAUCAUGAUGUCAUUAAUUUGGUGUCAUGGGGAAUCAGGACUAUUACUUUGAAAAAAUUAGAGUGUUUAAAGCAGGCUCACGCUUGAAUACAUUAGCAUGGAAUAAUGAAAUAGGACGUUUGACCCUAUUUUGUUGGUUUCUAGGAUCGACGUAAUGAUUAAUAGGGAUAGUUGGGGGCAUUAGUAUUCAAUUGUCAGAGGUGAAAUUCUUGGAUUUAUUGAAGACUAACUACUGCGAAAGCAUUUGCCAAGGAUGUUUUCAUUAAUCAAGAACGAAAGUUAGGGGAUCGAAGACGAUCAGAUACCGUCGUAGUCUUAACCAUAAACUAUGCCGACUAGGGAUCGGAUGAUGUUAUUUUUUUAAUGACUCAUUCGGCACCUUAC
RNAcentral lists this unclassified non-coding RNA (520 nucleotides) under uncultured Glomus. Its description in RNAcentral is "SSU rRNA". It matches the Rfam family "Eukaryotic small subunit ribosomal RNA", at positions 569 to 1091 of the family's 1831-position model. RNAcentral also lists the same sequence under 1 other name. Lineage: Eukaryota; Fungi; Glomeromycota; Glomeromycetes; Glomerales; Glomeraceae. The record is from RNAcentral.